UUCAGAUGGAGCACCCACCUACAAUAAUGUACAACACUCAGGAGGAGCUUGGAGAAAGCAGUGAAGCGCUUAAUCCAACAAUGCCGUCCACUUCCCUCUGACCUGCCAAGACCGGCUUAACCCUUGUGUGGAGUUCAGGUCUGUGGGACCCAUUUUCAAUGUUUACUAAAAUAAAAAUGAUACAAUGAAUAAUUUUUUCAACCUGAGACUCAUUGGCCUUGGCUCAUAAAAUAACACAUUUUCAUUGAGUGCACACUGUGCAGCCCCCUACACAUUUAUUUUUCAUACGUGGUGUUCGGGUCCACUGUGUGCCUUCACAGUGUGCCUUGCAUACUUUGAGGUUAUUAUCCUUGCUGGGGUUUUCAGAUCCAAUGGGGAAUCCACAGAAUCCGUGUGGGAUGCAGAAACUGGCAGAGAACAUUUCUGUGCAACAAUGUCUCUGGAAAACUUCCACAUUAUUUCCAGGAUUAUCCGCUUCGAUAACUGAGACACCAGACUAGCUCGGCGGCACAGACACAAGCCAGCUGCAAUCAGGUCAGUGUGGGACAAGUGGGUGGACCACCUCCCCCUGUUUUCCAACCCUGGGCCCAACUUUACUGUUGAUGAGCAGUUUUUCAAGUCAUUGCCUAUCGAAUAUAGUGUCUAUGGGGUCAUUUUGCACUUCCUUUCACUAGAUGUCAACAGUCUUUAGAACCUUGGUUGAAGAUUCUACUGUGAAGGAGGGGGGAAUGGGAGCUGAAUGAGUCAGAGGUCUGCCAGAGUGGCAUGAGCUGAUCACGCGUGCUCACGUGAGGGCUAGCUGCGUUCCAUCGCAUUUCUACAGACAUAGGAAUUCUCCGGUUGGAACAUUAUUGAAGAUUUAUGUUAAAAACACCCUAAAGAUUGAUUCUAUACUUUGUUUGACAUGUUUCUACGAACUGUAAUAUGACCCUUCAUCUGAACUUUCGCCUGGACUUGCCCGCACGUCGUGAGUUUGGAUUGUGUACUAACGCGCAAACAAAAAGGAGAUAAAUUAUGGACUUUAUCAAACUAAUCAAACAUUUAUUGUGGAACUGGGAUUCCUAGGAGUGCAUUCUGAUGAAGAUCAUCAAAGGUAAGUGAAUAUUUAUAAUGCUAUUUCUGACUUUGUUGACUCCACAACAUGGCGGAUAUCUAUAUGGCUUGUUUUGUUGUCUGAGUGCUGUACUCAGAUUAUUACAUGGUGUGCUUUUCCGGUAAAGCUUUUUUGAAAUCUGACACAGUGGUUGCAUUAAGGAGAAGUGGAUCUAAAAUUCCAUGCAUAACACUUGUAUCUUUUAGCAAUGUUUAUUAUGAGUAUUUCUGUAAAUUGAUGUGGCUCUCUGCAAAAUCACCGGAUGUUUUGGAACUACUGAACGUAAUGCGCCAAUGUAAACUGAGAUUUUGGGAUAUAAAUAUGAACUUUAUCGAACAAAACAUACAUGUAUUGUGUAACAUGAAGUCCUAUGAGUGUCAUCUGAUGAAGAUCAUCAAAGGUUAGUGACUAAUGUUAUCUCUAUUUCUGCUUUUUGUGACUCCUCUCUUUGGCUGGAAAAAUGGCUGUGUAUUUCUGUGACUAGGUACUGACCUAACAUAAUCGUUUGGUGUGCUUUCGUCGUAAAGCCUUUUUGAAAUCGGACACUGUGGCUGGAUUUACAACAAGUUCAUCUUUAAAAUGGUGUGAAAUACGAGGGGUGGACAAUUUAGACAAGCUUGUGACUGGCUACAGCUGCAAAAGAAGAACCCUACUCUAGCCACUUGAUAUUCUUCAACAUCUUGGACAUCUCGGCGUACAACACAUUUGUCCUCUGGAUGGCGUUGAACCCAGAUUGGAACAGAGGAAAGCUCCAGAGGAGACAGUUCUUUCUCGAGGAGCUGGGCAAGGCAUUGGUAAGACCUCAAAUCCAGAGGAGGCAACAUAUAACUAGGACCCCAGCAUCUGCAGCCAUCGUGAAGAGGAUUCAGGAGGAAAAUGCUGGUGCCCCAUCUGCCCGACCCACAGAAGCAACAACUCCAAUACCAGAAAUUGCAGCCGGUAGCAACAAGCGCUGCGAUGUGUGUGGACCCAAGAAGUACAGGAAGAGACAGUACACAUGCGUCAAGUGCAAGAAAUACAUUUGCAACACACACACACAGUAAAACUCUGUCCCUCAUGUGGUGUGUAGACCGGCCUUAAUGUGGCUCAUUUAACAUUUCCAUAAAAUACUGUAUUUGUUCAGUUCAAAGCAAUACACGUCAAUGGUGAUGAAAACCUUGUUUAAUUUAUAUUUGUUCAAGAUAAACAUGAUUUAUUCCACCCAUGUCUUGAUUAUAAUAGCGCCUUUAUUGAUAAAUGUGAUCUUGCAGAAGUAAAUGGCAAAUAUUAACCAUGUAUGCUAUCUAUAUUGCUUGCAAUUGAUAUGUCAACAUCUAAGUAUUAAGGAUUUUUCCUAAAUUGUUAUGGCUGUAUUGUUAAAAAAAACAAAAAACAAUGUUGUGGGUCCAUCAAACCUGCAAACAUUGGGUGAAUAACAAAAACAUGAACACCACACUCGGGUUAACCAAUCCUUAAUAAGACAGGAAGCACACAGGAAGCACCAAUCAAAUGACAAUGGAUGAGAUAAGUCAUAGACUCAUUGUUAGUGUCACGACUUCCGCCGAAGUUGGCUCUCCUGCCUGUUCGGGCGGUGCUCGGCGGUCGUCGUCACCGUCCUACUAGCCACCACCGAUCCCUUUUUCGUUUGUCUGUUGGUUUUGUCUUAUUAGUUUCACCUGUGUGUAUUUUAGUUUAAUUAACGUCCUUAUAUGUAUUAGGUUGUCCCGCCCUUGUUUUGUGCGGGAUUGUUUGUAUUUCAUGUAUUUUGGUGGAGUACGUGUGUGUUAUUUCUCCGGUCUAUUUUUGAUCCUGUGUUGGAUUAUACACCCUGUAUGUUGGGUUGACCGUGUUGUUUUGAUUGCCGGAGAAUUAAACUGUCGAAUCACUUAA
Oncorhynchus tshawytscha (Chinook salmon) is the source of this 2962-nucleotide long non-coding RNA. Lineage: Eukaryota; Metazoa; Chordata; Actinopteri; Salmoniformes; Salmonidae. The record is from Ensembl.